GGGUGCUUGAGGCUAUCUGCCUCGGGCAUGAACACCAACGGCAGAUAGAUAAAAGCCCCACCCGACUAUAAAUCGAAGUGAGGCCCCUAUAUGCUCGUCACAUAUAGAUUGCCUCUUACGGACCGAAAGGUCAAGGAGAAGCAGGCUAUG
Molecule: antisense RNA, 150 nt
Filed under: Escherichia coli
Lineage: Bacteria; Pseudomonadati; Pseudomonadota; Gammaproteobacteria; Enterobacterales; Enterobacteriaceae
Also listed under: 4 other names
Description: sok antitoxin (CssrC)
Rfam family: sok antitoxin (CssrC)
About the family: Also identified in Shigella as CssrC.
Source: RNAcentral